GGUUCAUUCAAAUUUCUGCCCUAUCAACUUUCGAUGGUAGGAUAGUGGCCUACCAUGGUUUCAACGGGUAACGGGGAAUUAGGGUUCUAUUCCGGAGAGGGAGCCUGAGAAACGGCUACCACAUCCAGGGAAGGCAGCAGGCGCGCAAAUUACCCAAUCCCGACCGGGGAGGUAGUGACAAUAAAUACUGAUACAGGGUUCUUUUGGAUCUUGUAAUUGGAAUGAGUACAAUUUAAAUCCCUUAACGAGGAACAAUUGGAGGGCAAGUCUGGUGCCAGCAGCCGCGGUAAUUCCAGCUCCAAUAGCGUAUAUUAAAGUUGUUGCAGUUAAAAAGCUCGUAGUUG
RNAcentral lists this ribosomal RNA (344 nucleotides) under uncultured fungus. RNAcentral describes it as "SSU rRNA". It matches the Rfam family "Eukaryotic small subunit ribosomal RNA", at positions 292 to 636 of the family's 1831-position model. The record is from RNAcentral. Lineage: Eukaryota; Fungi.